UGUCAAUGGAAAAAAAUCAACAGAUUUUGCUGCUUUUGAAGCAGUAGCUGUCGAUAAAACAGCUGUAUCGCCAUAGCGGAUAAGAGCCGCUCCAUUGGCCUGUUUUGCAAGCUGGCCUAUUUCAACGGUCAAAUUCCGUCCGGCCCAUUCCAUAGAAAACACUUUUUUCUCGUGGUCCAUUUUACAACGCCUCUCUUUCAUAACCUAAUUGUAAAUAAUUGGCAGAAACAUAAAGUAAAAAACUCUCGCCUGAUACGCAACUGAACAUUAGACAUAGAUAUGAGCAUCUCCUACCCAUGUCCAAUGUUCAGUUCGAAUAUGCGCCUUUUGGCGCA
This 335-nucleotide non-coding RNA is filed under the name uncultured Siminovitchia sp. Lineage: Bacteria; Bacillati; Bacillota; Bacilli; Caryophanales; Bacillaceae. The record is from RNAcentral.